This 253-nucleotide ribosomal RNA is filed under the name uncultured bacterium. RNAcentral's name for it is "partial 16S ribosomal RNA". It matches the Rfam family "Bacterial small subunit ribosomal RNA", at positions 524 to 776 of the family's 1533-position model. The record is from RNAcentral.
UACAGAGGUCUCAAGCGUUGUUCGGAUUCAUUGGGCGUAAAGGGCUCGUAGGCGGCCAACUAAGUCAGACGUGAAAUCCCCAGGCUCAACCUGGGAACUGCGUCUGAUACUGGAUGGCUUGAGUUCGGGAGAGGGAUGCGGAAUUCCAGGUGUAGCGGUGAAAUGCGUAGAUAUCUGGAGGAACACCGGUGGCGAAGGCGGCAUCCUGGACCGACACUGACGCUGAGGAGCGAAAGCCAGGGGAGCAAACGGG